CAGAUUUUACCUGUGAGUUAGGAAUUUCAUUUACAUUGAAUUUUUUGUCGUGCAAUUCGGCGUUGUCUGA
Molecule: transfer RNA, 70 nt
Filed under: Neotermes insularis
Lineage: Eukaryota; Metazoa; Arthropoda; Insecta; Blattodea; Kalotermitidae
Description: tRNA-Val
Source: RNAcentral